Molecule: ribosomal RNA, 397 nt
Filed under: uncultured bacterium
Lineage: Bacteria
Description: partial 16S ribosomal RNA
Rfam family: Bacterial small subunit ribosomal RNA
Source: RNAcentral
AUACGUAGGGGGCGAGCGUUGUCCGGAAUGAUUGGGCGUAAAGGGCGCGUAGGCGGCCCGGUAAGUCUGGAGUGAAAGUCCUGUUUUUAAGAUGGGAAUUGCUUUGGAUACUGUCGGGCUUGAGUGCAGGAGAGGUAAGUGGAAUUCCCAGUGUAGCGGUGAAAUGCGUAGAGAUUGGGAGGAACACCAGUGGCGAAGGCGACUUACUGGACUGUAACUGACGCUGAGGCGCCAAAGUGUGGGGAGCAAACAGGAUUAGAUACCCUGGUAGUCCACACUGUAAACGAUGAAUGCUAGGUGUAGGGGGUAUCGACCCCUUCUGUGCCGCAGUCAACACAAUAAGCAUUCCGCCUGGGGAGUACGGCCGCAAGGUUGAAACUCAAAUGAAUUGGCGGGG